GAAGCCGAUGAAGGACGUUACUAACGACGAUAUGCUUUGGGGAGCUGUAAGUAAGCUUUGAUCCAGAGAUUUCCGAAUGGGGAAACCCAGCAUGAGUUAUGUCAUGUUAUCGAUAUGUGAAUACAUAGCAUAUCAGAAGGCACACCCGGAGAACUGAAACAUCUUAGUACCCGGAGGAAGAGAAAGAAAAUUCGAUUCCCUUAGUAGCGGCGAGCGAAACGGGAAGAGCCCAAACCAACAAGCUUGCUUGUUGGGGUUGUAGGACACUCUAUACGGAGUUACAAAGGACGACAUUAGACGAAUCAUCUGGAAAGAUGAAUCAAAGAAGGUAAUAA
Molecule: ribosomal RNA, 335 nt
Filed under: Staphylococcus aureus
Lineage: Bacteria; Bacillati; Bacillota; Bacilli; Caryophanales; Staphylococcaceae
Description: partial 23S ribosomal RNA
Rfam family: Bacterial large subunit ribosomal RNA
Source: RNAcentral